RNAcentral lists this RNase P RNA (368 nucleotides) under Gammaproteobacteria bacterium. RNAcentral's name for it is "RNase P RNA component class A". It matches the Rfam family "Bacterial RNase P class A". From Rfam's summary of the family: Ribonuclease P (RNase P) is a ubiquitous endoribonuclease, found in archaea, bacteria and eukarya as well as chloroplasts and mitochondria. Its best characterised activity is the generation of mature 5'-ends of tRNAs by cleaving the 5'-leader elements of precursor-tRNAs. Cellular RNase Ps are ribonucleoproteins. The record is from RNAcentral. Lineage: Bacteria; Pseudomonadati; Pseudomonadota; Gammaproteobacteria.
AGAGUUGGCCGGGCAAUCGCGGCAGGCCAUUUAGGUGGCCAGUCGAGGAAAGUCCGGGCUCCACAGGGCAGGGUGCCAGGUAACGCCUGGGGGGCGCGAGCCCACGGCUAGUGCAGCAGAGAGUAAACCGCCUAAGUUUGUCGCGCUACGGUGCGCAAACCGGUAAGGGUGAAAGGGUGCGGUAAGAGCGCACCGCGCUACUGGUAACAGUUAGCGGCAAGGUAAACCCCACCCGGAGCAAGGCCAAAUAGGAAUCCAAUGGCGCGGCCCGCGCUGGAUUCGGGUAGGCCGCUUGAGGGCUGUGGUGACACAGGCCCCAGAUGAAUGAUUGCUCUCGACAGAACCCGGCUUACAGGCCAACUCUUUUU